Molecule: ribosomal RNA, 377 nt
Filed under: uncultured bacterium
Lineage: Bacteria
Description: bacterial SSU rRNA
Rfam family: Bacterial small subunit ribosomal RNA
Source: RNAcentral
GACGAACGCUGGCGGCGUGCUUAACACACGCAAGUCGAGCGGUAAGGCCCUUUCGGGGGUACACGAGCGGCGAACGGGUGAGUAACACGUGGGUGACCUGCCCUUAGCCCUGGGAUAAGCCUGGGAAACUGGGUCUAAUACCGGAUAUGACCUCAUGACUCAUGUUGUGGGGUGGAAAGCCUUGUGCGGCUAGGGAUGGGCCCGCGGCCUAUCAGCUUGUUGGUGGGGUAAUUGCCUACCAAGGCGACGACGGGUAGCCGGCCUGAGAGGGCGACCGGCCACACUGGACUGAGACACCGGCCCAGACUCCGUACGGGAGGCAGCAGGUGGGGAAUCUUGCGCAAUGGGCGAAAGCCUGACGCAGCGACGCCGCGUGA